UACGUAGGCGGCAAGCGUUGUCCGGAUUUAGUGGGUUUAAAGGGUGCGUAGGUGGCUUGUUAAGUCCGGGGUGAAAGCCCACAGCUCAACUGUGGAACUGCCCUGGAUACUGGCGAGCUUGAGUCCAGACGAGGUUGGCGGAAUGGAAGCUGUAGCGGUGAAAUGCAUAGAUAGCUUCCAGAACCCCGAUUGCGUAGGCAGCUGACUAGGCUGGUACUGACACUGAGGCACGAAAGCGUGGGGAGCAAACAGG
RNAcentral lists this ribosomal RNA (253 nucleotides) under uncultured bacterium. Its description in RNAcentral is "partial 16S ribosomal RNA". It matches the Rfam family "Bacterial small subunit ribosomal RNA", at positions 524 to 776 of the family's 1533-position model. The record is from RNAcentral.